This 508-nucleotide ribosomal RNA is filed under the name uncultured bacterium. RNAcentral's name for it is "partial 16S ribosomal RNA". It matches the Rfam family "Bacterial small subunit ribosomal RNA", at positions 28 to 523 of the family's 1533-position model. The record is from RNAcentral.
GAUGAACGCUAGCUACAGGCUUAACACAUGCAAGUCGAGGGGAAACGACAUCGAAAGCUUGCUUUUGAUGGGCGUCGACCGGCGCACGGGUGAGUAACGCGUAUCCAACCUGCCCACCACUUGGGGAUAACCUUGCGAAAGUAAGACUAAUACCCAAUGAUAUCUCUAGAAGACAUCUGAAGGAGAUUAAAGAUUUAUCGGUGAUGGAUGGGGAUGCGUCUGAUUAGCUUGUUGGCGGGGUAACGGCCCACCAAGGCGACGAUCAGUAGGGGUUCUGAGAGGAAGGUCCCCCACAUUGGAACUGAGACACGGUCCAAACUCCUACGGGAGGCAGCAGUGAGGAAUAUUGGUCAAUGGGCGAGAGCUUGAACCAGCCAAGUAGCGUGCAGGAUGACGGCCCUAUGGGUUGUAAACUGCUUUUAUAAGGGAAUAAAGUGAGCCUCGUGAGGCUUUUUGCAUGUACCUUAUGAAUAAGGACCGGCUAAUUCCGUGCCAGCCGCCGCGGUAA